Non-coding RNA from Podarcis lilfordi (Lilford's wall lizard), 189 nucleotides. The record is from the annotation of a GenBank genome assembly. NCBI's taxonomy places the organism in Eukaryota, Metazoa, Chordata, Lepidosauria, Squamata, Lacertidae.
UUUCUGAUGUUGAGUCAGAAUCUCUUUUCUUGUAACUUGAAGCCAUGGGUUCGGGUCCUACCCUCCAGAGCAGGAGAAAACAAGCUGGCUCCAUCUUCUAUGUAGAAGCCCUUGAGAUAUUUGAAGAUGGCAAUCACAUCUCCUCUCAGUCUCCUCUUCUCCAGGCUAAACAUCCCCAGCUCCUUCAAC